This 481-nucleotide ribosomal RNA is filed under the name uncultured bacterium. RNAcentral describes it as "bacterial SSU rRNA". It matches the Rfam family "Bacterial small subunit ribosomal RNA", at positions 31 to 507 of the family's 1533-position model. The record is from RNAcentral.
GAACGCUGGCGGCAUGCCUUACACAUGCAAGUCGAACGGCAGCGCGGACUUCGGUCUGGCGGCGAGUGGCGAACGGGUGAGUAAUGUAUCGGAACGUACCAUUCAGUGGGGGAUAACGCAGCGAAAGUUGCGCUAAUACCGCAUAUUCUGUGCGCAGGAAAGCAGGGGAUCGCAAGACCUUGCGCUGAUUGAGCGGCCGAUAUCAGAUUAGCUAGUUGGUGAGGUAAAGGCUCACCAAGGCGACGAUCUGUAGCGGGUCUGAGAGGAUGAUCCGCCACACUGGAACUGAGACACGGUCCAGACUCCUACGGGAGGCAGCAGUGGGGAAUUUUGGACAAUGGGCGCAAGCCUGAUCCAGCCAUGCCGCGUGAGUGAAGAAGGCCUUCGGGUUGUAAAGCUCUUUCGGCCGGGAAGAAAUCGUAUGGGUUAAUACCCUGUGCGGAUGACGGUACCGGCAUAAGAAGCACCGGCUAACUACGUG